This 95-nucleotide microRNA precursor is filed under the name Canis lupus familiaris (dog). RNAcentral describes it as "mir-8799 microRNA precursor family". It matches the Rfam family "mir-8799 microRNA precursor family". Lineage: Eukaryota; Metazoa; Chordata; Mammalia; Carnivora; Canidae. RNAcentral also lists the same sequence under 1 other name. The record is from Rfam by way of RNAcentral.
GGGGGGACCGCCAGAUCCUGGGCUGUGUCCCCAGGAGCCCUGAGCUCUGGAGCCUGCGCCACUGGAAUUGCACUCCUGGUUCUGUGCAGCCCCCU